Non-coding RNA from Ictidomys tridecemlineatus (thirteen-lined ground squirrel), 69 nucleotides. The record is from Rfam. Lineage: Eukaryota; Metazoa; Chordata; Mammalia; Rodentia; Sciuridae.
GGGAUUGUGGCUCAGUGGUAGAGCACUUGCCUAGCAUGUGUGAGGCACUGGGUUCAAUCCUCAGCACCA